Molecule: small nuclear RNA, 156 nt
Organism: Octodon degus (degu)
Lineage: Eukaryota; Metazoa; Chordata; Mammalia; Rodentia; Octodontidae
Gene: U1
Rfam family: U1 spliceosomal RNA
About the family: U1 is a small nuclear RNA (snRNA) component of the spliceosome (involved in pre-mRNA splicing). Its 5' end forms complementary base pairs with the 5' splice junction, thus defining the 5' donor site of an intron. There are significant differences in sequence and secondary structure between metazoan and yeast U1 snRNAs, the latter being much longer (568 nucleotides as compared to 164 nucleotides in human).
Source: Ensembl
AUAUGGCAGGGGAGAUACCAUGAUCAUGAAGCUGAUUUUCCCAGGGCGUGGCUUAUCCAUUGUACUCUGGAUAUGCUGGCCCCUGCAAUUUUACUAAAUGUGGGAAACUUGAUUUUAUAUUUUGUGAUAGUAGAGGGCUGCAUUUGCUUUCCCCCU